This 253-nucleotide ribosomal RNA is filed under the name uncultured bacterium. RNAcentral describes it as "partial 16S ribosomal RNA". It matches the Rfam family "Bacterial small subunit ribosomal RNA", at positions 524 to 776 of the family's 1533-position model. The record is from RNAcentral.
UACGUAGGGGGCAAGCGUUAUCCGGAUUUACUGGGUGUAAAGGGCGUGCAGCCUGGCUGACAAGUCAGAUGUGAAAUCCCGCGGCUCAACCGCGGAACUGCAUUUGAAACUGUCAGUCUUGAGUACCGGAGAGGUCAUCGGAAUUCCUUGUGUAGCGGUGAAAUGCGUAGAUAUAAGGAGGAACACCAGUGGCGAAGGCGGCCUGCUGGACGAUGACUGACGUUGAGGCUCGAAAGCGUGGGGAGCAAACAGG